UGGGGAAUAUUGGACAAUGGGGGCAACCCUGAUCCAGCCAUGCCGCGUGUGUGAAGAAGGCCUUUUGGUUGUAAAGCACUUUAAGCAGUGAAGAAGACUCCAUGGUUAAUACCCAUGGACGAUGACAUUAGCUGCAGAAUAAGCACCGGCUAACUCUGUGCCAGCAGCCGCGGUAAUACAGAGGGUGCAAGCGUUAAUCGGAAUUACUGGGCGUAACGCGAGCGUAGGUGGGUUGAUAAGUCAGAUGUGAAAGCCCCGGGCUUAACCUGGGAACGGCAUCUGAUACUGUUAGGCUAGAGUAGGUGAGAGGAAGGUAGAAUUCCAGGUGUAGCGGUGAAAUGCGUAGAGAUCUGGAGGAAUACCGAUGGCGAAUGCAGCCUUCUGUCAUCAUACUGACACUGAGGUUCGAAAGCGUGGGUAGCAAACA
RNAcentral lists this ribosomal RNA (427 nucleotides) under uncultured bacterium. Its description in RNAcentral is "partial 16S ribosomal RNA". It matches the Rfam family "Bacterial small subunit ribosomal RNA", at positions 355 to 774 of the family's 1533-position model. The record is from RNAcentral.